Molecule: ribosomal RNA, 492 nt
Filed under: uncultured bacterium
Lineage: Bacteria
Description: partial 16S ribosomal RNA
Rfam family: Bacterial small subunit ribosomal RNA
Source: RNAcentral
AGUGAACGCUGGCGGUAGGCCUAACACAUGCAAGUCGAACGGCAGCACAGUAAGAGCUUGCUCUUACGGGUGGCGAGUGGCGGACGGGUGAGGAAUACAUCGGAAUCUACUUUUUCGUGGGGGAUAACGUAGGGAAACUUACGCUAAUACCGCAUACGACCUACGGGUGAAAGCAGGGGAUCUUCGGACCUUGCGCGAUUGAAUGAGCCGAUGUCGGGUUAGCUAGUUGGCGGGGUAAAGGCCCACCAAGGCGACGAUCCGUAGCUGGUCUGAGAGGAUGAUCAGCCACACUGGAACUGAGACACGGUCCAGACUCCUACGGGAGGCAGCAGUGGGGAAUAUUGGACAAUGGGCGCGAGCCUGAUCCAGCCAUACCGCGUGGGUGAAGAAGGCCUUCGGGUUGUAAAGCCCUUUUGUUGGGAAAGAAAAGCAGCAGGUUAAUACCCCGCUGUUCUGACGGUACCCAAAGAAUAAGCACCGGCUAACUUCGUG